Molecule: ribosomal RNA, 512 nt
Filed under: Texoreddellia sp. 1 LE-2017
Lineage: Eukaryota; Metazoa; Arthropoda; Insecta; Zygentoma; Nicoletiidae
Description: partial 16S ribosomal RNA
Rfam family: Bacterial large subunit ribosomal RNA
Source: RNAcentral
GGCCUUACGAUGAGGUGUAUAUGUAAGGUCUGGCCUGCCCAAUGAUGGUUUGAAUGGCCGCGGUAUUAUGACCGUGCAAAGGUAGCAUAAUCAUUAGUCUUUUAAUUAAAGGCUUGUAUGAAUGGUUGGACGAGGGGAAGGCUGUCUCGGAUGUGAGGUGAUUAUUAAAUUUUACUUUUGGGUGAAAAGGCUCAAAUGUUCCUGGGGGACGAUAAGACCCUAUAGAUCUUUACGGUUUGGCUGAUGUGCUUGUUAAUUUGUUGAGUUUAGCUUGUCCGUUGUGUUGGGGCGACUGGAAAAUAUUAUCAACUUUUCUAUUAAUUGUUACUAAUUUGUGUUUGUUUUUGAUCCAUUAUUAAUGAUUACAAGACUAAGUUACCUUAGGGAUAACAGCGUAAUUUUUCUUGAGAGUUCUUAUCGACAGGAGGGAUUGCGACCUCGAUGUUGGAUUAAGGUUUCCUUGUGGUGUAGAAGCUAUUAGGGAGGGUCUGUUCGACCCUUAAAUCCUUACA